GUUGUUGCAGUUAAAAAGCUCGUAGUUGGAUUUCUGGUCUGUCCAACUCGGUCCGGUACAAUGUAUUGCGACUGUGGUUGGAUCGUCCCAUCCUUGCGGGGACUAUGGAUGCCAUUGAGUUGGUGUUCCUAGGAACCGCAUCGUUUACUGUGAAAAAAUUAGAGUGUUCAAAGCAGGCUUAUGCCGUGAAUACUUUAACAUGGAAUAAUAGAAUAGGACUCUGGUUCUAUUUUGUUGGUUG
This 241-nucleotide ribosomal RNA is filed under the name uncultured eukaryote. RNAcentral describes it as "partial 18S ribosomal RNA". It matches the Rfam family "Eukaryotic small subunit ribosomal RNA", at positions 609 to 850 of the family's 1831-position model. The record is from RNAcentral.